UUUUUUCCAAAAACGAACCGGACAUUUGAAAUAACAAACGUGAUCGAAGAACUCUGAAUGCACGCUCUACAUCUUUUCUACAUGCUAUUUGUU
Molecule: small RNA, 93 nt
Filed under: Arabidopsis thaliana (thale cress)
Lineage: Eukaryota; Viridiplantae; Streptophyta; Magnoliopsida; Brassicales; Brassicaceae
Description: ATSL279370
Source: RNAcentral